AGAGUUUGAUCCUGGCUCAGGAUGAACGCUGGCGGCGUGCUUAACACAUGCAAGUCGAGCGGAAAUAUUUUAAAUGAAGGCUUCGGUUGGAAUUUAUAAUAUUUUAGCGGCGGACGGGUGAGUAACGUGUGGGUAACCUGCCAUAUACUGGGGAAUAAUCAUUUGAAAAGAUGACUAAUACCGCAUGUCGUCACUAAGGGGCAUCUCUUGGUGAAAAAAGGAGUAAUCCGGUAUAUGAUGGACCCGCAUCUGAUUAGCUAGUUGGUGAGAUAACAGCUCACCAAGGCGACGAUCAGUAGCCGACCUGAGAGGGUGAUCGGCCACAUUGGGACUGAGACACGGCCCAAACUCCUACGGGAGGCAGCAGUGGGGAAUAUUGCACAAUGGGCGAAAGCCUGAUGCAGCAACGCCGCGUGAAGGAAGAAGGGUUUCGGCUCGUAAACUUCUAUCAAUGGGGAAGAAACAAAUGACGGUACCCAAAUGAGAAGCCCCGGCUAACUACGUGCCAGCAGCCGCGGUAA
Molecule: ribosomal RNA, 521 nt
Filed under: uncultured bacterium
Lineage: Bacteria
Description: bacterial SSU rRNA
Rfam family: Bacterial small subunit ribosomal RNA
Source: RNAcentral